CAGGCAGGGGGGUUGGAAAGCUGUUGCUGUGAAUCCCUCUCAGUACAUGGGGAGCGAGGAGGGCGGAUGGAGGUUCGAUCCCCAGCUGCAAUGAUCCCUUUAAAAGGAGUGUGGCCGCUUCCUUCCUGAGCCACGUUUCUGGUGGGCGCAUGUUAAUCCGGAGUCACUGCAAGGCAGAACAGGGAGUGACUCCAGAUUAACAUGGGGGCAGAUAAGAUCAGGGCGUGUCCCGGUGGGGAGGGGGUUUCAGUUGUUGCCAAAGGGGGAAAAGUGACUCAGUUUCUCUCCGUCUCUUUCUCUGCUCAGGAUAUUGGGGUUGAGCUUCCUGGGUCAGAUGCUGUUGCCCCGAUUGUGGUCUGGGAGCCCAGGCUGAGCAGCUGCUGCUCCCCCAGCGGGAUCGGGGCUGGGGAGUGACUGUGAGUGAAGCUUCCUCUGCGCCCAGCCAAGAAGAGGAUUUUCUCCAGCUGUAAUUAGCCCCAUAGGUCAACCCAAGGCUCUGCCCACACCGACAUCUGAGCCAGAGACGCCAGGAAGCAGAAUUCACCAAGCGUUGGAUUGUUCACCCACUAAUAGGGAACGUGAGCUGGGUUUAGACCAUCGUGAGACAGUCGAGAACAUCCAUCUGCGAGGAAAGAGCCGGGGGGAAUUGUGAUGUGACGUGACUGUCCUGUUCUGAAAUGUCCCCUUCUUGCCCUGACAGGCUGCAGUGUCACAUCCCAUCCUCCCAGGGAAGGGAAAUGGCUGCUGUGGGGCCAGCUCAGGUAGGGAUUAUCGGGGAGUUGCUGGUGGGCUCCUGUUGGCAGCAGAAGGGCAGUAAAGCCAUAGGAGGGGCCGGUGACUUUCGAGGAGGUGGCUGUGUAUUUCACCAGGGAAG
Molecule: non-coding RNA, 874 nt
Organism: Chelonoidis abingdonii (Abingdon island giant tortoise)
Lineage: Eukaryota; Metazoa; Chordata; Testudines; Testudinidae
Source: RefSeq, a predicted model, not a curated record